CCUACGGGAGGCAGCAGUUAGGAAUAUUGGUCAAUGGGCGGGAGCCUGAACCAGCCAAGCCGCGUGAGGGAAGAAGGUACAGCGUAUCGUAAACCUCUUUUGUCAGGGAACAAAGGCGGGGACUAGUCCCCGGAUGAGGGUACCUGAAGAAAAAGCAUCGGCUAACUCCGUGCCAGCAGCCGCGGUAAUACGGAGGAUGCGAGCGUUAUCCGGAAUCAUUGGGCGUAAAGAGUUCGUAGGCGGUAUGUUAAGUCUGGUGUUAAAUGCAGAAGCUCAACUUCUGUUCGGCACUGGAUACUGGCAAACUAGAAUGCGGUAGAGGUAAAGGGAAUUCCUGGUGUAGCGGUGAAAUGCUUAGAUAUCAGGAGGAACAUCGGUGGCGUAAGCGCUUUACUGGGCCGUAAUUGACGCUGAGGAACGAAAGCCAGGGUAGCAAAUGGGAUUAGAUACCCUUGUAGUC
This 460-nucleotide ribosomal RNA is filed under the name uncultured bacterium. RNAcentral describes it as "partial 16S ribosomal RNA". It matches the Rfam family "Bacterial small subunit ribosomal RNA", at positions 338 to 795 of the family's 1533-position model. The record is from RNAcentral.